Molecule: non-coding RNA, 4888 nt
Organism: Coturnix japonica (Japanese quail)
Lineage: Eukaryota; Metazoa; Chordata; Aves; Galliformes; Phasianidae
Source: RefSeq, a predicted model, not a curated record
GUUGAAACUCCCUGCUAAUGGAAAUCUAAUGAACCACCACACCAUGACUAGUAACAUGUGUGUUUCAAACAAUACACGCAUUACUCAAUGUUGGGAUGCAUCGCAUUGGGAACAUCUAAAGUCAGGACUUGAGGAGAAAUGCACUGGGCUGCUUCAGCACAAGAGUCAAUAUUAAUCUUAAAGGUUGAAACUCCCUGCUAAUGGAAAUCUAAAUCUUAAACAUUGAAACUCCCUGCUAAUGGAGGUGUGUGAUUCCAGCAGACACAUCACCUGCCCAAGAGAAAACUCCCAUCUGAAACUCACAUCAGGAGCCACACGGUUACAAACUGGAGAGACGAGCUGUGACUGGAAGGGUUGGGAGCUUUUGCCAUCAGCCUUUUUUUGCUGGCGACUGUCAGAGACAACUCCUGACUGCAUGGUGCACAGUUCUGAGUGUGUCCAUCAUGAGUGUUGCUAUAAAGCCAUUGUGUUGAAAUAGGCUUGCGUCUGACGGCAGAAUUGCUGGGUAAACGCUUUCAGCAGGGAAGGGUUUUGUAACCUAUCGAUACUAGCAAACUCUAUGAAUACUUUUGUUGAAUGUCUGUGUUGAAAUGAUCUAGAAAAGUCUAGGAAGUUACCAGGGCAAUUCUAAGUACCAGGCUCUAGAACCAUGCACAGAACUGCACAACUUGCAUACACUCACCUACAGCAACGCUUCUGUCAGUCAGAACUGUAACCAAUGUGACUAUUUUGGUGCAGGUUCGUGCAAACGAGCCACCUGCUCAAACCACUGCUUUAAAUCUACCAGAAUUGUCAACCCUGGCAGCUGUCUGCCAAUAGAAGGGCACUAUGCAAAGAGUCUGUGAAUUUCCUUGCAAUUCAGAGCAGAGGUUUUUCAACUCGUGUUUUACGGGAGGAAACAAAAAAAGCAACUGGUCUACAGCAGCCAACGCAUGACUUAGCUGGCAAGAUCCAGGCUUUUGCUUAAAAUCUGCAGCUUGAUGUUGAAAUUCACUGAGAUAUAUUGCAAAAGGGCAGCGCAUCAGGCAGCACCACUGCUAGCAAGUCAAGGACACAGCUCCAGGACUCAGUGGUGCUACACGUCUGCAGCUCAUUGAAUCCAUGCUCCUACGCUGCAGGUGAUCUCUGAAGGAAAUUCAGCACAGAACAGUAAGAUCAAGGUCUCAUGAAAGCAGCGGUGCUGGCAGAGGACUAACAAAGGCGACUGCAGAGGAGGAUGAAGACCUUCAAGCAAUUGUCCAAGCUUUUACAGGUGAGCAGAAGCCUCUGCCCUCGGGCAUUCCCCCUGGAACAGCCAUCAGGACCCACAGCCAGGAGCACUCAUUACCCACACAGAACCCAGAGGAACCACUCCCACCUCCUACUUUGUUUCCCUCGCCUUUCCUCCUUCAUUUAUUUCCUGUGGGUUUUCCUCUUUGAUUAAAUUUCUGGUAUGUAGGCACACUUAAUAAUAAAACAGAUAACUCAUGGGAGAUGGAUGAUAUUUAUAAGAUCUAUUGCAUUUCUUUCGUUCUUCGUCAGACCUCGAGAGACAAUCCUGAACUACCUGUUUCCUUUCUUUUAAAAAUAGAAAGAAAAAAAGAAAUCAGAUGAGCAGCUGACAAGUUUUUCAAACCAUCACUGUUUUAUUUGGUUAGUUUAUUAAACACCUUUAAGACAAUUAAUUUUGGUCUGUACCCUUCUAUAAAAUAAUUCAAGUUCUGAACAAACCUCCAAUACAUAAAGCAAAGUUACUUUACCAUACGCAAAUUUCAGAUCAAAAUACAGCACUCUGUUUUCUUACAUUUAUAAAACCCGGUCAAAUACAAACGACAUUAAAAAAGAUAAAACACUUCCACUGAUCCUUGGUACAAUAUUACAGCACAAUUUGCACAGUGGCCACUAAGUCUCCAAAGCACAAUUCAAACUUUAAAAAGGGAGCCUCCCUUUAGUCACCCAACAUUAUACUGAACACGUAAACAAAGCGAGUGCUACUUAAUCCAGGAAAAUUCUCACGUCCCUUUUUUGUAUGUUUGAGCCACAAAGCAAUUCUGCAAGUCAUGUUACGGGUGUGUAACCAAACAGCUUUCUGCUUUGCUGUUACAGCUUUAUGUGAGACCACUCCAUGAAAAUAAACGGGUGGAGGUGGACCAGACUCUGCAAUGGGCAAUUUAUGGCAACUAAGGCAAAUCAAUAAACAUGCUUUUUUUUUAUUAUUUGUUUGUUUUCUGUAAGAACAAAUCAUAGAUCUCUUAAAAAACCAAAAUCAAUGCCGAAUUAUCAGUGGGUACAAUUUGAGCAGCUGCCUUUUUCUUCAUUUUCAUGACAUCUAAUAUAGACACAGAGUGUUUUCAAUUGCUGAGUUUGUUCCAUUUCAAGACCCAGUGUUUCAGCAAUAGUCAAAGUGCCAUCAAAAUUGCACAUUUUUUUUUCAAUUAUGAAAAUAUACAGUAGCGUGCAGUGUUUGUUUGCAACUAUGCCCAGAAGCUUGCGCUUAUGCUCACCUAUGAGCAAUGUGGGAUCCCGUAUUAAACUAAAGUGAGCAAAAAUCAAAACACACAUUGAGAAUGACAGAAUGGAGGCAUCAGAUGACAAACAUUCCUGGGAAGUUCCUACUUAGCGAGCCUUACAAUCACACCUCGAGAAAAGAAAGUAAAAUCAGAGCACUAAUGGGAGGGUCUGAUGUGUCCAACUCAGGCUAGAUUUGCAUAGGCAGCCAAGGCAAUUGCACAAACACCAUAGUGCAACUCAACAGGUAUUUUUGCCCACAGACCCUCAAAUCCCUCGUUCAUCCCCUACCCUCCCCCCACGUUAAUACACUAACAUUACUUACAACUCCAUUAUAAGUUUAAUUACUUUAGUUUCAAUGAAAAAACAUACUGAUGGAUCUACUUUUGCCUCCUCCCGCCCCCAAGCUCACACCAUAUCCAUCAGGUACAUACACAUUCAGAACUUAUUCCUAUCCAUUAACAUCAGUUUUAUCCCAGCAAAACGAAGGAGAAUUGCAUACUGCAUAAAACAGCGCAUAUUUAAUAACGCUUGUGUAAACACCACAGGAUGGAAAAAUAACAGUAAUUAAAAACAAACGAGUGAGGUACAGCAAGAACUUGAUUUGCAAACUUGGUCUUUUAAGUGCAACCGAAACACUACAUGCUGCCCUUCUCAAAAAAGUCUCUCCGUAAUUAAGCUACGUUACUGGGAUUAUUCCCUUACAGCUACAUACUCAUGCUGUAACUCCUUACAUCGACUUAACGCAAAUAGUUAUGGGGCAAAAAUUAAUGUAUGGGGUUAAUUAAAAUUUUCGAAAGGAAUGGUUGUGAAGGGAUCAACCAUGGGAAAUGCGGGAAUACACGUUUUAAAAAUAUUUCCAAUUAUUUCAACACAGAACAGCAAACAGAUUUUCAAAAAUGCAUAGAAACCCUGUCAAUACAAAAAUCCCCGCUAAAAUUACACAACUAAGCAAUUUUAAUCUAAAUAUUUUAUGUGCUUUUCCUAUAAAGGCCACUUUGACGUACAAAUACAAAAAAAUUUACAUUUUUUUCCCCCUCCCCAAAAUAAAUAAUUUGUUUCUCAAUUAAGAAUACUGAGUAUGGAAGCAUAACAAACUUCUCGCAGACCAACCGCUCACUGCAUUGGCUACCUCCAAAGAAGAAAAUCUCUACGUAUUCUUAGUUACCCAAAGAAAUAAAACACCACCUUCAGACUUGGUACUUCCUAGCGCUAUGAAGAGCCUGGGGUUAGGGAUGGAGAGAUCUGGACCCUUCAACACCGUAUGUGCUGGGGAGGGAAUACACACAGAUGUCUGAAGGGAGAUUUGCUGUUUUCUCUCCCGAGUUAUGGAAGAGAUGGAAAUCAGUGAAAUAAAUAGAGGUUAACCUGAAUUAGAGAGAGACAAAGUAAGUGGAGAUAAGAAGGAGAAGCUGUAUGAAGUACAUUGUAGGGUGAGUAAAUGACACGUGUAGGUGAACUACUCAGAAGAAGGCAUGUAGAGGUGAGAAGAGAGGAACAACUGAGAGAGAAGAGCGACUCAUGGGAUGCAGAACCAGGGGAACAACAUAUUGACUUAACAGGGGGAAGAAGAGGAACACAAGGAACAGUCUUCACUGGAAAAUGGAUGCAAUGGGAGAACAAUGAAUUUUCAACAGUCCUGACCAUACGGGCAUUUAUCCCUGAACGGUGACGCAAGCAGCAAAAUCUAAUGCACAGUUACAUGCACAAACAGUGGAAACAAAAACUUAAACUGGAUUUGAGACAUAACAGCUCUUUGUCACUAUAAGCACCAGAGCCACAGCAGGACAAUGUGGGGACACGAGCAAGUCAGACCUACCCAGAGGGGUGCAGCAUACCAAAAAUCCUACAGCAAAGAGAUGCAAACAUUGUGAAGUGGCCCCAACUGACCCAGCGGGUAAAAUGCACUGGUGGAUUCACAAGACAAGCUCCAACUGCCAACAACACAAGACUGACAAGGGGGAAGGUACACUUUGACACCACAUCAUUCAAAUUCAGAACAUCCAACAAACCAGACAGAGAGAGGCAGGGGAGAAGGAGGAAAACCAGCGAACACAAGUUGAUUGCAACAAAGGAUUCUUGGGCAGCCAUUUAGUACAAGUUCUUCUAACCUUGGACCAAGGACUGGAUUAGGAAGGACACAAGAGCCGUGCUUCUUCUGUACCAUAAGGAAUCCCGCUCUCUGGUGCUCUAUGUUGCAUAGUUUGACUGAAGCCAAAGAGCACUUCUUAUUUUCCCCCAGUUUUUUGCAGAAGAGACACUGCAUGCUCAGGUCAGAGCAUCCCAAGGCCUGGCCCUCAGCAAUCAAUGAGUUCAUUUUUGAGGUAACGUAAAGAUUUAGGAGUAGGCAUGUAAAAAAUAAACAACAAAAAACAAAAGCAAAAGCUCAGUUCCCACACAG